This 496-nucleotide ribosomal RNA is filed under the name uncultured bacterium. RNAcentral's name for it is "partial 16S ribosomal RNA". It matches the Rfam family "Bacterial small subunit ribosomal RNA", at positions 28 to 506 of the family's 1533-position model. The record is from RNAcentral.
GGUGAACGCUGGCGGCGUGCCUAAUACAUGCAAGUCGAGCGAACGGACGAGAAGCUUGCUUCUCUGAUGUUAGCGGCGGACGGGUGAGUAACACGUGGAUAACCUACCUAUAAGACUGGGAUAACUUCGGGAAACCGGAGCUAAUACCGGAUAAUAUUUUGAACCGCAUGGUUCAAAAGUAAAAGACGGUCUUGCUGUCACUUAUAGAUGGAUCCGCGCUGCAUUAGCUAGUUGGUAAGGUAACGGCUUACCAAGGCAACGAUGCAUAGCCGACCUGAGAGGGUGAUCGGCCACACUGGAACUGAGACACGGUCCAGACUCCUACGGGAGGCAGCAGUAGGGAAUCUUCCGCAAUGGGCGAAAGCCUGACGGAGCAACGCCGCGUGAGUGAUGAAGGUCUUCGGAUCGUAAAACUCUGUUAUUAGGGAAGAACAUAUGUGUAAGUAACUGUGCACAUCUGGACGGUACCUAAUCAGAAAGCCACGGCUAACUACGU